CGGGGGGGGCAAGCGUUGUUCGGAAUUACUGGGCGUAAAGGGUUCGUAGGUGGCUGGCUAAGCCAGACGUGAAAUCCCUCAGCUUAACUGGGGAACUGCGUCUGGGACUGGCGAGCUUGAGUGCAGGAGAGGAACGCGGAAUUCCAGGUGUAGCGGUGAAAUGCGUAGAUAUCUGGAGGAACACCGGUGGCGAAGGCGGCGUUCUGGACUGCAACUGACACUGAGGAACGAAAGCCAGGGGAGCAAACGGGAUUAGAUACCCCGGUAGUCCUGGCCCUAAACGAUGAAUGCUUGGUGUGGUGGGUAUCGAUCCCCGCCGUGCCGGAGUUAACGCGUUAAGCAUUCCGCCUGGGGAGUACGGUCGCAAGGCUG
Molecule: ribosomal RNA, 372 nt
Filed under: uncultured organism
Description: bacterial SSU rRNA
Rfam family: Bacterial small subunit ribosomal RNA
Source: RNAcentral